UCGCUGGCCUUUAUCUCUGUUUCACGUCCAGGACCCCACGCCCUGUCGGCGCUGCUUGGGCUACGGUCACUGUCCACCCGGGGCCCACGGAAACGCGGUCUCUGUCCCCCACCGCCGCUUGCCUUGGGAACGCGGCCCGAAGCCCAGGACCUGGUAGAUGGGCGCAGGCGGGCGGUCGGCCGUGUCCUCGCCGCGGGUCACCAUCGCCUCGCGCACGGCCGCCAGCCCAUUGAGCACGACCACCGGCGUCCAGGCCAGCUGCAGGCUGAACACGUCCCCGAAGCGGCGCCGCAACUGCAGAGGGAGGGUCAGGGCCUCUUGUCAAGCCAGGAUCACCCCAGACUACAGGUAUGACCUUGCAAGAGUCACCAAAAUUGCCGAGAGGCCCCAGUUAGCAUCCCAUUCCCAGAUGAUGGUCCAUGCCGGUGAGCAGUGAGGCCCGAGGACCCACAGUGCAAAAGGUUUGAACCGGGUCACUGCACCCCCUUCAUCCUCGAUUUCGUGAUUUAAACGGCACUCAGGACUAACUCAUCUUCCAUUCCCAAGGCCUUUCCUUCUGGUGUCAGCAGAAGGGACUUUGUACUCCAUAACAUAUGUUGCCCAAUGGGCUUGCAUGCCCACUGCCAAGUCCAGCUCCACCUCCAGGCCCUUGCCCUACUCUUCCUUGGCCUUUGGAAAAUCCAGUCCUUCAUGCCAUGUAUAAAUGUCCUUCCCCAGGACGUCCCCCAAACCUGCUUCCCCUUCUCAGCCUGGCUUCUGAUCCAGCCUGUGGUUUAACCCACCACCCAUGUUUGCUGGUGGUGGGGCAUCCUCAGGACCUCUGCCGCCCUCCAGGACCUCCUCCCUCACCUGGUCGAAGCAGUAUGGUGUGUUCUGGAAGUCCACAUGCAGCAAGGUUGCCCAGCCCGGGCAGUGGCAGGGGACCUGGCGGGUAGCGUGCAGCCCAGCGUUGGUGCCGGUGCAUCAGGUCCACCAGGAGCAGGAAGAUGGCCACUAUCAUGGCCAGGGGCACCAGUGCUUCUAGCCCCAUGGCUGCCUCACUACCAACUGGGCUCCUCUGGACACA
Molecule: long non-coding RNA, 1066 nt
Filed under: Homo sapiens (human)
Lineage: Eukaryota; Metazoa; Chordata; Mammalia; Primates; Hominidae
Description: HSALNT0278342
Source: RNAcentral